Molecule: non-coding RNA, 115 nt
Organism: Triticum urartu
Lineage: Eukaryota; Viridiplantae; Streptophyta; Magnoliopsida; Poales; Poaceae
Source: Rfam
AACGUACUCCCACCGUUCGGAAUUACUUGUCUCGGAUAUGGAUGUAUCUAAAACUAAAAUACAUCUAGAUACAUCCAUUUCUGCGACAAGUAAUUCCAAACGGAGAAAGUAGUUA